GGGCAAUUAGCUCAGUUUGGUUUAGAGCAUCUGUUUUACAAGCAGGGGGGUCACUGGUUCAAAUCCAGUAUUGCCCA
RNAcentral lists this transfer RNA (77 nucleotides) under Blattabacterium sp. (Cryptocercus punctulatus) str. Cpu. Its description in RNAcentral is "tRNA-Val (TAC) (tRNA-Val-TAC-1-1)". It matches the Rfam family "tRNA". From Rfam's summary of the family: Transfer RNA (tRNA) molecules are approximately 80 nucleotides in length. Lineage: Bacteria; Pseudomonadati; Bacteroidota; Flavobacteriia; Flavobacteriales; Blattabacteriaceae. The record is from RNAcentral.